ACUCAAAUGAAUAGACGGGGGACCGCACAAGCGGUGGAGCAUAUGGCUUAAUUCGAUGCAACGCGAAGAACCUUACCAGGGCUUGACAUGCACCUGCAAGCUGCCGAAAAGCAGUCGCUUUCGAAGGUGGUGCACAGGUGGUGCAUGGCUGUCGUCAGCUCGUGUUGUGAAAUGUUGGGUUAAGUCCCGCAACGAGCGCAACCCUCAUGUUUUGUUACCAGCGGAUAAUGCCGGGGACUCGAAACAAACUGCCUCUGUAAAGAGGAGGAAGGCGGGGAUGACGUCAAGUCAGCAUGCCCCUUACGCCCUGGGCUGCACAUAUGCUACAAUGGCCGGCACAAAGGGUUGCCAACUCGCGAGAGUGAGCUAAUCCCAAAAAACCGGUCUCAGUUCGGAUCGAAGUCUGCAACUCGACUUCGUGAAGUCGGAAUCGCUAGUAACCGCCGGUCAGCAAUACGGCGGUGAAUACGUUCCCGGUCCUUGCACACACCGCCCGU
Molecule: ribosomal RNA, 497 nt
Filed under: uncultured bacterium
Lineage: Bacteria
Description: partial 16S ribosomal RNA
Rfam family: Bacterial small subunit ribosomal RNA
Source: RNAcentral